UACAGAGCUUUGCAUGCCAGGAUGGAGACUGUAGCCAGGAGGUUUAUUAAACUGGAUGCACAGCGAAAACGCCUUUCUCCGGGUUCAAAAGAGUAUCAGAAUGUUCAUGAAGAAGUCUUACAAGAAUAUCAGAAGAUCAAGCAGUCCAGUCCCAAUUACCAUGAAGAAAAAUACAGAUGCGAGUAUCUUCAUAACAAGCUGGCUCACA
This is a non-coding RNA of Peromyscus maniculatus bairdii (prairie deer mouse), 208 nucleotides long. The record is from RefSeq and is a predicted model, not a curated record. Lineage: Eukaryota; Metazoa; Chordata; Mammalia; Rodentia; Cricetidae.